UACGUAGGUGGCAAGCGUUGUCCGGAAUUACUGGGUGUAAAGGGCGUGUAGGCGGGGAUGCAAGUCAGAUGUGAAAUUCCGGGGCUCAACUCCGGAGCUGCAUCUGAAACUGUAUCUCUUGAGUGUUGGAGAGGAAAGUGGAAUUCCUAGUGUAGCGGUGAAAUGCGUAGAGAUUAGGAGGAACACCAGUGGCGAAGGCGGCUUUCUGGACAAUAACUGACGCUGAGGCGCGAAAGCGUGGGGAGCGAACAGGAUUAGAUA
This 261-nucleotide ribosomal RNA is filed under the name uncultured prokaryote. Its description in RNAcentral is "partial 16S ribosomal RNA". It matches the Rfam family "Bacterial small subunit ribosomal RNA", at positions 524 to 784 of the family's 1533-position model. The record is from RNAcentral.